GGGGUAUUAGCUCAGCUGGGAGAGCGCUUCGCUGGCAGCGAAGAGGUCAGCGGUUCGAUCCGGCUAUACUCCACCA
RNAcentral lists this transfer RNA (76 nucleotides) under Helicobacteraceae bacterium CG1_02_36_14. RNAcentral describes it as "tRNA-Ala". It matches the Rfam family "tRNA". From Rfam's summary of the family: Transfer RNA (tRNA) molecules are approximately 80 nucleotides in length. Their secondary structure includes four short double-helical elements and three loops (D, anti-codon, and T loops). The record is from RNAcentral. Lineage: Bacteria; Pseudomonadati; Campylobacterota; Epsilonproteobacteria; Campylobacterales; Helicobacteraceae. RNAcentral also lists the same sequence under 15 other names.